ACCUGACUGCUAUCGGAUUGGUACUAAGCCAUGUGAGUCAUUGUAGCAAUACAAGGCAUACGGCUCAGUAACACGUAGUCAAUCUGCCCUAUGGACGUGGAUAACCUCGGGAAACUGAGAAUAAUCCGCGAUAGAUCAUAAUGCCUGGAACGGUUUGUGGUCCAAAUGAUUCGUCGCCAUAGGAUGGGACUGCGGCCUAUCAGCUUGUUGGUGAGGUAAUGGCCCACCAAGGCUAUUACAGGUACGGGCUCUGAGAGGAGAAGCCCGGAGAUGGGUACUGAGACACGGACCCAGGCCCUAUGGGGCGCAGCAGGCGAGAAACCUUUGCAAUGUGCGCAAGCACGACAAGGUUAAUCCGAGUGUUUCCUGCUAAAGGAAUCUUUUGUUAGUUCUAAAACCACUGAUGAAUAAGGGGUGGGCAAGUUCUGGUGUCAGCCGCCGCGGUAAAACCAGCACCUCAAGUGGUCAGGAGGAUUAUUGGGCCUAAAGCAUCCGUAGCCGGUUCUGUAAGUUUCCGGUUAAAUCCACUAGCUCAACUAAUGGGCUGCCGGAAAUACUGCAGAACUAGGGAGUGGGAGAGGUAGACGGUACUCGGGAGGAAGGGGUAAAAUCCUUUGAUCUCUUGAUGACCACCUGUGGCGAAGGCGGUCUACCAGAACACGUUCGACGGUGAGGGAUGAAAGCUGGGGGAGCAAACCGGAUUAGAUACCCGGGUAGUCCCAGCUGUAAACGAUGCAGACUCGGUGAUGCACUGGCUUUUGGCCAGUGCAGUGCCGCAGGGAAGCCGUUAAGUUUGCCGCCUGGGAAGUACGUACGCAAGUAUGAAACUUAAAGGAAUUGGCGGGGGAGCACCACAAGGGGUGAAGCCUGCGGUUCAA
This 878-nucleotide ribosomal RNA is filed under the name uncultured archaeon. RNAcentral describes it as "bacterial SSU rRNA". It matches the Rfam family "Archaeal small subunit ribosomal RNA", at positions 21 to 905 of the family's 1478-position model. The record is from RNAcentral.